AGUGAACGCUGGCGGUAGGCCUAACACAUGCAAGUCGAACGGCAGCACAGUAAGAGCUUGCUCUUACGGGUGGCGAGUGGCGGACGGGUGAGGAAUACAUCGGAAUCUACUUUUUCGUGGGGGAUAACGUAGGGAAACUUACGCUAAUACCGCAUACGACCUACGGGUGAAAGCAGGGGAUCUUCGGACCUUGCGCGAUUGACUGAGCCGAUGUCGGAUUAGCUCGUUGGCGGGGUAAAGGCCCACCAAGGCGACGAUCCGUAGCUGGUCUGAGAGGAUGAUCAGCCACACUGGAAAUGAGACACGGUCCAGACUCCUACGGGAGGCAGCAGUGGGGAAUAUUGGACAAUGGGCGCAAGCCUGAUCCAGCCAUACCGCGUGGGUGAAGAAGGCCUUCGGGUUGUAAAGCCCUUUUGUUGGGAAAGAAAAGCAGCAGGUUAAUACCCCGCUGUUCUGACGGUACCCAAAGAAUAAGCACCGGCUAACUUCGUG
This 492-nucleotide ribosomal RNA is filed under the name uncultured bacterium. Its description in RNAcentral is "partial 16S ribosomal RNA". It matches the Rfam family "Bacterial small subunit ribosomal RNA", at positions 29 to 507 of the family's 1533-position model. The record is from RNAcentral.